Molecule: ribosomal RNA, 602 nt
Filed under: uncultured bacterium
Lineage: Bacteria
Description: bacterial SSU rRNA
Rfam family: Bacterial small subunit ribosomal RNA
Source: RNAcentral
GCAGUCGAGCGGUAGAGAGAAGCUUGCUUCUCUUGAGAGCGGCGGACGGGUGAGUAAUGCCUAGGAAUCUGCCUGGUAGUGGGGGCUAACGUUCGGAAACGGACGCUAAUACCGCAUACGUCCUACGGGAGAAAGCAGGGGACCUUCGGGCCUUGCGCUAUCAGAUGAGCCUAGGUCGGAUUAGCUAGUUGGUGGGGUAAUGGCUCACCAAGGCGACGAUCCGUAACUGGUCUGAGAGGAUGAUCAGUCACACUGGAACUGAGACACGGUCCAGACUCCUACGGGAGGCAGCAGUGGGGAAUAUUGGACAAUGGGCGAAAGCCUGAUCCAGCCAUGCCGCGUGUGUGAAGAAGGUCUUCGGAUUGUAAAGCACUUUAAGUUGGGAGGAAGGGCAGUAAAUUAAUACUUUGCUGUUUUGACGUUACCGACAGAAUAAGCACCGGCUAACUCUGUGCCAGCAGCCGCGGUAAUACAGGGGGUGCAAGCGUUAAUCGGAAUUACUGGGCGUAAAGCGCGCGUAGGUGGUUAGUUAAGUUGGAUGUGAAAUCCCCGGGCUCAACCUGGGAACUGCAUUCAAAACUGACUGACUAGAGUAUGGUAGA